This 408-nucleotide ribosomal RNA is filed under the name uncultured bacterium. RNAcentral's name for it is "bacterial SSU rRNA". It matches the Rfam family "Bacterial small subunit ribosomal RNA", at positions 954 to 1363 of the family's 1533-position model. The record is from RNAcentral.
GCUAAACGCGAAGAACCUUACCCAGACUUGACAUGCACUAGACCGCUUCAGAAAUGAAGCUUCCCUUCGGGGCUGGUGCACAGGUGCUGCAUGGCUGUCGUCAGCUCGUGCCGUGAGGUGUUGGGUUAAGUCCCGCAACGAGCGCAACCCUUAUCAUUAGUUGCCAACACGUAAUGGUGGGAACUCUAAUGAGACUGCCUGGGUUAACCAGGAGGAAGGUGAGGAUGACGUCAAGUCCGCAUGGCCCUUAUGUCUGGGGCUACACACGUGCUACAAUGGUCGGUACAAAAGGCAGCGAAACCGUGAGGUGAAGCAAAUCCCGAAAGCCGGCCCAGUUCAGAUUGUAGUCUGCAACUCGACUACAUGAAGAUGGAAUUGCUAGUAAUGGCGAGUCAGCAACAUCGCCGU